Molecule: ribosomal RNA, 334 nt
Filed under: uncultured bacterium
Lineage: Bacteria
Description: bacterial SSU rRNA
Rfam family: Bacterial small subunit ribosomal RNA
Source: RNAcentral
GAUGAACGCUGGCGGCAUGCCUAAGACAUGCAAGUCGAACGAGGUGGCCCAAAGAAGAUUGAGUGCUUGCACGAGAUUGGACUUGGAUUACCACCUAGUGGCGGACGGGUGAGUAACACGUAGGUGACCUGCCUUUGAGUUUGGGAUAACUAUUAGAAAUGAUAGCUAAUACCGGAUUAAAUGCAGAUUCGUUUCUGUAUUAAAAGGAGCCUUUAAAGCUUCGCUUAAAGAUGGGCCUGCGGCGUAUUAGCUAGUUGGUGAGGUAAUCGGCUUACCAAGGCGACGAUGCGUAGCCGAACUGAGAGUUGAUCGGCACAUUGGGACUGAGACACGG